Molecule: non-coding RNA, 28 nt
Filed under: Cricetulus griseus (Chinese hamster)
Lineage: Eukaryota; Metazoa; Chordata; Mammalia; Rodentia; Cricetidae
Source: RNAcentral
UUUUUGUAACAGGGCUACAUUCUGCAAA